RNAcentral lists this transfer RNA (74 nucleotides) under Thermobrachium celere. RNAcentral's name for it is "tRNA-Gly". It matches the Rfam family "tRNA". From Rfam's summary of the family: Transfer RNA (tRNA) molecules are approximately 80 nucleotides in length. Their secondary structure includes four short double-helical elements and three loops (D, anti-codon, and T loops). RNAcentral also lists the same sequence under 4 other names. The record is from RNAcentral. Lineage: Bacteria; Bacillati; Bacillota; Clostridia; Eubacteriales; Clostridiaceae.
GCAGGUAUAGCUCAAUGGCAGAGCUCCAGCUUCCCAAGCUGGCUAUGCGGGUUCGAUUCCCGUUACCUGCUCCA